This 516-nucleotide ribosomal RNA is filed under the name Ascochyta medicaginicola. Its description in RNAcentral is "eukaryotic LSU rRNA". The stretch from base 145 to 298 matches the Rfam family "5.8S ribosomal RNA". The record is from RNAcentral. Lineage: Eukaryota; Fungi; Ascomycota; Dothideomycetes; Pleosporales; Didymellaceae.
GGGCUUCUAGCGUGUAGGCUUUGCCUGCUAUCUCUUACCCAUGUCUUUUGAGUACCUUACGUUUCCUCGGCGGGUCCGCCCGCCGAUUGGACAAUUUAAACCAUUUGCAGUUGCAAUCAGCGUCUGAAAAAACUUAAUAGUUACAACUUUCAACAACGGAUCUCUUGGUUCUGGCAUCGAUGAAGAACGCAGCGAAAUGCGAUAAGUAGUGUGAAUUGCAGAAUUCAGUGAAUCAUCGAAUCUUUGAACGCACAUUGCGCCCCUUGGUAUUCCAUGGGGCAUGCCUGUUCGAGCGUCAUUUGUACCUUCAAGCUCUGCUUGGUGUUGGGUGUUUGUCUCGCCUCUGCGUGUAGACUCGCCUCAAAACAAUUGGCAGCCGGCGUAUUGAUUUCGGAGCGCAGUACAUCUCGCGCUUUGCACUCAUAACGACGACGUCCAAAAGUACAUUUUUACACUCUUGACCUCGGAUCAGGUAGGGAUACCCGCUGAACUUAAGCAUAUCAAUAAGCGGAGGAA